Molecule: ribosomal RNA, 386 nt
Filed under: uncultured bacterium
Lineage: Bacteria
Description: bacterial SSU rRNA
Rfam family: Bacterial small subunit ribosomal RNA
Source: RNAcentral
AUUGAACGCUGGCGGCAUGCCUUACACAUGCAAGUCGAACGGCAGCACGGGAGCAAUCCUGGUGGCGAGUGGCGAACGGGUGAGUAAUAUAUCGGAACGUGCCCAGUCUGGGGGAUAACGUAGCGAAAGCUACGCUAAUACCGCAUACGAUCUACGGAUGAAAGCGGGGGAUCGCAAGACCUCGCGCGAUUGGAGCGGCCGAUAUCAGAUUAGGUAGUUGGUGAGGUAAAGGCUCACCAAGCCGACGAUCUGUAGCUGGUCUGAGAGGACGACCAGCCACACUGGGACUGAGACACGGCCCAGACUCCUACGGGAGGCAGCAGUGGGGAUUUUGGACCAAUGGGCGCAAGCCCUGAUCCAGCAAUGCCGCGUGCAGGAUGAAGGCC